RNAcentral lists this ribosomal RNA (481 nucleotides) under uncultured Glomus. RNAcentral describes it as "partial 18S ribosomal RNA". Lineage: Eukaryota; Fungi; Glomeromycota; Glomeromycetes; Glomerales; Glomeraceae. The record is from RNAcentral.
ACAUCAUCCGAUCCCUAGUCGGCAUAGUUUAUGGUUAAGACUACGACGGUAUCUGAUCGUCUUCGAUCCCCUAACUUUCGUUCUUGAUUAAUGAAAACAUCCUUGGCAAAUGCUUUCGCAGUAGUUAGUCUUCAAUAAAUCCAAGAAUUUCACCUCUGACAAUUGAAUACUAAUGCCCCCAACUAUCCCUAUUAAUCAUUACGUCGAUCCUAGAAACCAACAAAAUAAGAUCAAACGUCCUAUUUCAUUAUUCCAUGCUAAUGUAUUCAAGCUAAUGCCUGCUUUAAACACUCUAAUUUUUUCAAAGUAACAGUCCAAAUUCCCCGCAACACCAAAUUAAUGGCAUUGCGGUUCAUCAGGAAGGAGGAAUCAGUGAGACCAGUACAUACCAGAGGCAUGACCAACCUACUAACCCCGAAAUUCAACUACGAGCUUUUUAACUGCAACAACUUUAAUAUACGCUAUUGGAGCUGGAAUUACC